This 497-nucleotide ribosomal RNA is filed under the name uncultured bacterium. Its description in RNAcentral is "partial 16S ribosomal RNA". It matches the Rfam family "Bacterial small subunit ribosomal RNA", at positions 28 to 507 of the family's 1533-position model. The record is from RNAcentral.
GAUGAACGCUGGCGGCGUGCCUAAUACAUGCAAGUCGAGCGAACAGACGAGGAGCUUGCUCCUCUGACGUUAGCGGCGGACGGGUGAGUAACACGUGGAUAACCUACCUAUAAGACUGGGAUAACUUCGGGAAACCGGAGCUAAUACCGGAUAAUAUAUUGAACCGCAUGGUUCAUUAGUGAAAGACGGUUUUGCUGUCACUUAUAGAUGGAUCCUCGCCGCAUUAGCUAGUUGGUAAGGUAACGGCUUACCAAGGCAACGAUGCGUAGCCGACCUGAGAGGGUGAUCGGCCACACUGGAACUGAGACACGGUCCAGACUCCUACGGGAGGCAGCAGUAGGGAAUCUUCCGCAAUGGGCGAAAGCCUGACGGAGCAACGCCGCGUGAGUGAUGAAGGUCUUCGGAUCGUAAAACUCUGUUAUUAGGGAAGAACAAAUGUGUAAGUAACUAUGCACGUCUUGACGGUACCUAAUCAGAAAGCAACGGCUAACUACGUG